CACGUGAGCAAUCUGCYCCUGACUCUGGGAUAAGCGCUGGAAACGGCGUCUAAUACUGGAUACGAACCGUGGAGGCAUCUUCAACGGUUGGWAAGAUUUUYUGGUCAGGGAUGAGCUCGCKGCCUAUCAGCUUGUUGGUGAGGUAAUGGCUCACCAAGGCGUCGACGGGUAGCCGGCCUGAGAGGGUGACCGGCCACACUGGGACUGAGACACGGCCCAGACUCCUACGGGAGGCAGCAGUGGGGAAUAUUGCACAAUGGGCGCAAGCUGAUGCAGCAACGCCGCGUGAGGGAUGACGGCCUUCGGGUUGUAAACCUCUUUUAGCAGGGAAGAAGCGAAAGUGACGGUACCUGCAGAAAAAGCGCCGGCUAACUACGUGCCAGCAGCCGCGGUAAUACGUAGGGCGCAAGCKUUAUCCGGAAUUAUUGGGCGUAAAGAGCUCGUAGGCCGGUUUGUCGCGUCUGCUGUGAAAAUCCCGAGGCUCAACCUCGGGUCUGCAGUGGGGUACGGGCCARACCUARARAUGCGGGUAAGGGGAGAAUUGGAAAUUCCUGGGUGUAGCGGUGGAAAUGCGCCAGAUAUCAAGGGAGGAACAACCGGAUUGGGCGAAAGGCAAGAAUCUUCUGGGCCGUAACUGACGCUGAGGAGCGAAAGGGUGGGGAGCAAACAGGCUUAGAUACCCUGGUAGUCCACCCCGUAAACGUUGGGGACCUAGUUGUGGGGUCCAUUCCACGGAUUCCGUGACGCAGCUAACGCAUUAAGUUCCCCGCCUGGRGAGUACGGCCGCAAGGCUAAAACUCAAAGGAAUUGACGGGGACCCGCACAMGCGGCGGAGCAUGCGGAUUAAUUCGAUGCAACGCGAAGAACCUUACCAAGGCUUGACAUAUACGAGAACGCUGCAGAAAUGUAGAACUCUUUGGACACUCGUAAACAGGUGGUGCAUGGUUGUCGUCAGCUCGUGUCGUGAGAUGUUGGGUUAAGUCCCGCAACGAGCGCAACCCUCGUUCUAUGUUGCCAGCACGUAAUGGUGGGAACUCAUGGGAUACUGCCGGGGUCAACUCGGAGGAAGGUGGGGAUGACGUCAAAUCAUCAUGCCCCUUAUGUCUUGGGCUUCACGCAUGCUACAAUGGCCGGUACAAAGGGCUGCAAUACCGUAAGGUGGAGCGAAUCCCAAAAAGCCGGUCCCAGUUCGGAUUGAGGUCUGCAACUCGACCUCAUGAAGUCGGAGUCGCUAGUAAUCGCAGAUCAGCAACGCUGCGGUGAAUACGUUCCCGGGUCUUGUACACAC
Molecule: ribosomal RNA, 1288 nt
Filed under: Microbacterium sp. A49
Lineage: Bacteria; Bacillati; Actinomycetota; Actinomycetes; Micrococcales; Microbacteriaceae
Description: bacterial SSU rRNA
Rfam family: Bacterial small subunit ribosomal RNA
Source: RNAcentral